Molecule: ribosomal RNA, 541 nt
Filed under: uncultured Bacteroidota bacterium
Lineage: Bacteria; Pseudomonadati; Bacteroidota
Description: bacterial SSU rRNA
Rfam family: Bacterial small subunit ribosomal RNA
Source: RNAcentral
CGGCAGGCUUAAUACAUGCAAGUCGUGGGGCAGCAUGAGUGUAGCAAUACAUUUGAUGGCGACCGGCAAACGGGUGCGGAACACGUACACAACCUUCCUUUAAGUGGAGAAUAGCCUAAGGAAACUUGGAUUAAUACUCCGUAAUAUUAUGAAGUGGCAUCACUUUAUAAUUAUAGCUCCGGCGCUUAAUGAUGGGUGUGCGGCUGAUUAGAUAGUUGGCGGGGUAACGGCCCACCAAGUCUGCGAUCAGUAACUGGUGUGAGAGCACGACCAGUCACACGGGCACUGAGACACGGGCCCGACUCCUACGGGAGGCAGCAGUAAGGAAUAUUGGUCAAUGGACGCAAGUCUGAACCAGCCAUGCCGCGUGGAGGAUGAAGGCCCUCUGGGUUGUAAACUUCUUUUAUCUGGGACGAAAAAGGGACUUUCUAGUUCAACUGACGGUACCAGAGGAAUAAGCACCGGCUAACUCCGUGCCAGCAGCCGCGGUAAUACGGAGGGUGCAAGCGUUAUCCGGAUUCACUGGGUUUAAAGGGUGCGU